UACGUAGGCAGCGAGCGUUGUUCGGAAUUACUGGGCGUAAAGAGUGUGUAGGCGGUGCUCUAAGUUCGGUGUGAAAUCUCCUGGCUUAACUGGGAGGGUGCGCCGGAAACUGGGGUGCUCGAGCGUGGGAGAGGAAAGCGGAAUUCCUGGUGUAGCGGUGGAAUGCGCAGAUAUCAGGAGGAACACCGGUGGCGAAGGCGGGUCUCUGGGCCGUUACUGACGCUGAGGGGCGAAAGCGUGGGGAGCGAACAGG
This 253-nucleotide ribosomal RNA is filed under the name uncultured bacterium. RNAcentral describes it as "partial 16S ribosomal RNA". It matches the Rfam family "Bacterial small subunit ribosomal RNA", at positions 524 to 776 of the family's 1533-position model. The record is from RNAcentral.